RNAcentral lists this long non-coding RNA (232 nucleotides) under Sorghum bicolor (sorghum). RNAcentral's name for it is "long non-coding RNA (SBIC_LNC016767)". Lineage: Eukaryota; Viridiplantae; Streptophyta; Magnoliopsida; Poales; Poaceae. The record is from RNAcentral.
GUCGGCCACGGUAAGGACAUCCUCUCCGUCGCCUUCUCCGUCGACAACCGCCAGAUCAUCUCCGCGUCCCGCGACAAGACCAUCAAGCUCUGGAACACCCUCGGUGAGUGCAAGUACACCAUCGGCGGCGACCUCGGUGGUGGCGAGGGCCACAACGGGUGGGUCUCCUGCGUCAGGUUCUCCCCCAACACCUUCCAGCCCACCAUCGUUUCCGGAUCCUGGGAUCGCACCG